GGGGCUGAUUCUGGAUUCGACGGGAUUUGCGAAACCCAAGGUGCAUGCCGAGGGGCGGUUGGCCUCGUAAAAAGCCGCAAAAAAUAGUCGCAAACAACGAAAACUACGCUUUAGCAGCUUAAUAACCUGCUUAGAGCCCUCUCUCCCUAGCCUCCGCUCUUAGGACGGGGAUCAAGAGAGGUCAAACCCAAAAGAGAUCGCGUGGAAGCCCUGCCUGGGGUUGAAGCGUUAAAACUUAAUCAGGCUAGUUUGUUAGUGGCGUGUCCGUCCGCAGCUGGCAAGCGAAUGUAAAGACUGACUAAGCAUGUAGUACCGAGGACGUAGGAAUUUCGGACGCGGGUUCAACUCCCGCCAGCUCCACCA
Molecule: transfer-messenger RNA, 363 nt
Filed under: Escherichia coli
Lineage: Bacteria; Pseudomonadati; Pseudomonadota; Gammaproteobacteria; Enterobacterales; Enterobacteriaceae
Also listed under: 1 other name
Rfam family: transfer-messenger RNA
About the family: Bacterial tmRNA, also known as 10Sa RNA or SsrA, is named for its dual tRNA and mRNA-like properties. Its role is to liberate the mRNA from a stalled ribosome.
Source: RNAcentral